GUAGGUGGCAAGCGUUGUCCGGAAUUAUUGGGCGUAAAGCGCGCGCAGGCGGUUUUUAAGUCUGAUGUGAAAGCCCACGGCUCAACCGUGGAGGGUCAUUGGAAACUGGAGAACUUGAGUACAGAAGAGGAAAGCGGAAUUCCACGUGUAGCGGUGAAAUGCGUAGAGAUGUGGAGGAACACCAGUGGCGAAGGCGGCUUUCUGGUCUGUAACUGACGCUGAGGCGCGGAAGCGUGGGGAGCAAACAGGGAUUAGAUACCCUGGUAGUCCACGCCGUAAACGAUGAGUGCUAAGUGUUAGGGGGUUUCCCGCCCCUUAGUGCUGCAGCUAACGCAUUAAGCACUCCGCCUGGGGAGUACGGCCGCAAGGCUG
This 372-nucleotide ribosomal RNA is filed under the name uncultured organism. RNAcentral describes it as "partial 16S ribosomal RNA". It matches the Rfam family "Bacterial small subunit ribosomal RNA", at positions 527 to 896 of the family's 1533-position model. The record is from RNAcentral.